CGUGUUGUAAAAAUUAGCUUUUCGCGUGAUUUCGCAAACUCAACGCCUAUCAUCUUCCACGAUCUAUCUGAGAUAUUUCUCCAUCAUCUUCGCAAGUUUAAAAGUGUCUUUGCCCUUUUAAUCACCGAGUGACUAUUAAAGUGACUACUUAAAAUCAAGUAAUCAACAAAAAUGUACCUGUCAGGUACCAUUCGUUGAAUCUGCAACUACAUUUCUAGAAAAUUAACCAGCAGAGCGGAGAAUUCGAAGCGCCACGGUGUCUCGUUUUAAUUUCAGCACCGUCCAAGUCGAUCAAAGAGGAGGACGUGGGUAAGAAAAAGAAACGAGAAAGCUAAACGAG
RNAcentral lists this unclassified non-coding RNA (340 nucleotides) under Bombus terrestris (buff-tailed bumblebee). Its description in RNAcentral is "misc RNA ENSBTSG00005038351.1". The record is from RNAcentral. Lineage: Eukaryota; Metazoa; Arthropoda; Insecta; Hymenoptera; Apidae.